Molecule: ribosomal RNA, 543 nt
Filed under: uncultured bacterium
Lineage: Bacteria
Description: bacterial SSU rRNA
Rfam family: Bacterial small subunit ribosomal RNA
Source: RNAcentral
GAGGAAUAUUGGUCAAUGGACGGAAGUCUGAACCAGCCAAGUAGCGUGCAGGAUGACGGCCCUAUGGGUUGUAAACUGCUUUUGUAUGGGGAUAAAGUUAGGGACGUGUCCCUAUUUGCAGGUACCAUACGAAUAAGGACCGGCUAAUUCCGUGCCAGCAGCCGCGGUAAUACGUAGGUGGCAAGCGUUGUCCGGAAUUAUUGGGCGUAAAGCGCGCGCAGGCGGAUUGGUCAGUCUGUCUUAAAAGUUCGGGGCUUAACCCCGUGAUGGGAUGGAAACUGCCAAUCUAGAGUAUCGGAGAGGAAAGUGGAAUUCCUAGUGUAGCGGUGAAAUGCGUAGAUAUUAGGAAGAACACCAGUGGCGAAGGCGACUUUCUGGACGAAAACUGACGCUGAGGCGCGAAAGCCAGGGGAGCGAACGGGAUUAGAUACCCCGGUAGUCCUGGCCGUAAACGAUGGGUACUAGGUGUAGGAGGUAUCGACCCCUUCUGUGCCGGAGUUAACGCAAUAAGUACCCCGCCUGGGGAGUACGACCGCAAGGUUG